AAAUUUUUAAAUUAAAUUAAUUUUUUAAUUUAAUUUGAUUUUACUGAUUUAAUCGGUUCAGACUCUACUUUUGCUCACCCCUGUAUAUAAGCUACCAGUCUCCUGGAGCCUUUCCGGCAAAUAAUUAGCUGGUCACAAGCCGGAGUUUGCGGCUCCCAGAGACUGCUUUCGAGCUUGGAUCACCAUUUAAUUUAAUUAUUGGAGACAUAAUGUCUCCAAUAAUUAAAUUAAAUGGUGAUUCAAGUUCUCGUUCUGUUUCCUUUUUCUCUCAUGUGGGGCCCAGCCGCCCUCCUUCGCAGGUGAUUGAUGUGCAUCGCUCGUCCGAGACGGGUUCAGAGUAUCGCGCGUGCGUGGGAGGGCGAAAGGACGAGGCUAAGGGAGAGGACGCCAGGCCAGGGAGACACCAUCUCCACUCUCCACUCCAUUGCUCAACCCCGACGCUCUCAGUGAGAUGACGGACGGCCAUCUCUUCAACAACAUCCUCCUCGGAGGCUGUGGCGGAACAAUUUCUCAUGCAGAAGAUUCUAAGGGCGUGAUGGCCAUAGAGAUGAUGUAUUUUGAAUGUUCAUUCUUACAUUUUAUGAGGGCCAGUGAUUCUUUAGGAGAUCAUUUAUUAGUGAACACAAGUUUUACCAUUAUGGAGGCUCUACGGUUCUUGCUUUCUGUUAGCAGUUGUCCAAACAUCACUAUCUCAAGCCAAUAGAAUGCGUAGCAUGGAAUUUGGAGUGUUGAAACGAAUUACACCAGAAGAAUUGCUCUAUGCAUGUUUAAUAUUCUACAGGACACAAGACUUUUUUUUCUAACGGCAUUCAUUUAUGGCAGUCACUUUCUGGGUGGUGAUUCAUAGAUUGGCUGGUUCAGCUUUCUUUCUUUUGAUGAAAACCGGCAAAUGAAAUUAUUCUUAAUUAAGCCAAUGAAGAAGCAACUGCUUUCACCAGGGAAAUGCAGAUUAUCAAAUUGGUAAGCAUCUAAAAGAUAAAGUCAUACGGGCUUUAGAUUAUUCGCUGACUAUUGCAAGAAUUUCAGUAUAGGUUCGACAUUGGUUAACUUUCUAGCCAAACCUGUACUACUUGUCAUAACUUAAAUUAUUAUGCAUAGACAUUUUUGUAUGUUAGGUAUGCUUUAUUUCAAACAGCAGUCCAAGACAAUUGGCAUGAAUAUUUAGGGCGUACUUUGCUUUCGGCCUCUUGCAGCAGCGCCCAACCAGUGUUACUCAUUUGGUUUGGUGCUUCCCCUGACGAGUGUGCUGCCCCGAUGAGGACGGCAAUUGGGUCCCAACAGGUAAAGGGUGGUCUAACGAGCACGUGUUUUCAGAACCCAACGACUUGGUUGUCGGACACUGGCAUGGACUGGCGUGCAUGCUGGUUAAAUAGCAUACAUUUGUGCAUGUAAAUUAAUUAUUCAGUUGAUCUCCUAUGCAAAAGAAAAGAAAAGAAAAGAGAAGAAC
This is a long non-coding RNA of Elaeis guineensis (African oil palm), 1447 nucleotides long. RefSeq lists it as uncharacterized. The record is from RefSeq and is a predicted model, not a curated record. NCBI's taxonomy places the organism in Eukaryota, Viridiplantae, Streptophyta, Magnoliopsida, Arecales, Arecaceae.